UGACCUCGGAUCAGGUAGGAAUACC
This 25-nucleotide ribosomal RNA is filed under the name Fusarium oxysporum. RNAcentral's name for it is "partial 28S ribosomal RNA". The record is from RNAcentral. Lineage: Eukaryota; Fungi; Ascomycota; Sordariomycetes; Hypocreales; Nectriaceae.